Molecule: ribosomal RNA, 497 nt
Filed under: uncultured bacterium
Lineage: Bacteria
Description: partial 16S ribosomal RNA
Rfam family: Bacterial small subunit ribosomal RNA
Source: RNAcentral
GAUGAACGCUGGCGGCGUGCCUAAUACAUGCAAGUCGAGCGAACAGACGAGGAACUUGCUCCUCUGACGUUAGCGGCUUACGGGUGGGUAACACGUGGAGAACCUCGCUAUAACACUGGGAUAACUUCGGGAAACCGGAGCUAAUACCGGAUAAUAUAUUCAACCGAAUGUUUUAAUAGUGAAAUACGGUUUUGUUGACACUACUAGAUGGAUCCGCGCCGCGUUAGCAAGUUGGUAAGGUAAUGGCAUACCAAGGCAACGAUGGGUAGCCGACCUGAGAGGGAGAUCGGCCACACUGGAACUGAGACACAGUCCAGACUCCUACGGGAGGCCGCAGUAGAGAAUCUUACGCAAUGGGCGAAAGCCUGACGGAGCAACGCCGCGUGAGUGAUGAAGGUCUUCGGAUCGUAAAACUCUGUUAUUAGGGAAGAACAAAUGUGUAAGUAACUAUGCACGUCUUGACGGUACCUAAUCAGAAAGCCACGGCUAACUACGUG